Molecule: RNA transcript, 3227 nt
Organism: Quercus robur (English oak)
Lineage: Eukaryota; Viridiplantae; Streptophyta; Magnoliopsida; Fagales; Fagaceae
Exons: 9
Source: RefSeq, a predicted model, not a curated record
UUUAUCCGAACUCAAAACUUUUCCCGCCAUUGUUUUUGUAUAAAGAAAAAGAAAUAAAGAACCUGAAGUUAGGUGUCUCUAAUUUAGUAAAGUUUUGGGAAAAUCAAUCAGCAGCGAUGGACCGAAACGAGACCUCGAGGAAGCGCAAGAAGCAUCCCCCAAACCCUAUCUUCACACGCAGCAGCAGAUCUCAGAUCCACGAAGACGAUGCCGAUGAUCUCCGUAUCCUGAUCAAAGAUCUCCGCACUAAACGGGUCUUCUCCCCCGACGCUUCUGCUUUGUGCAAUCUCAAUUUGGAGCCUGAUUUGGGAAUUUCUUAUGAAACCCAGAGCCAGAAGAAUGAUGAUUUGGCUGAACCUGAGGUCGAGGUGUCACUGUCAGGUAUUACUUUUAGAGAGAUUACUCCUCCUGGAAUCGGCAAGUGCUUAGGAGCAGCCAACAUUCACAACAAUGUCUCAACCACCAAAUCGGUUCUCAAACCAUGUUUUAGGCGGAAACUGUUCAAAACUCCAGGUUCAGUUAGCUAUAAAAGAUUGCUUCCUUUUCUGAUGGAUAUCACAAAAGAUAAUCCAUAUGCUCCAGAAAAUAUUCAGUGCUCAAAACUGGACAAGGGGUUGGGACAAAAGCAGCAGCUUCAACCGAAGUUAGCUUCUAUGGGUCAAGAAGUUUUCAUGGAUAUGUCUAACAUGAAUCAAUGUCCAAUAGAUUGUAAAACUGGUGAAUCUGGUAACUCGCCAACAUCUGUACUAAUUUCUGCCAAUGAGUCAUCAAAUGGUAACAUCGUACAUUCUACAUCAGCUGAACACUAUUCUGAAUCGUUAAUGUCAUUUCAUUCUAAAAAAUUGGUUGAUGAUAAGGAGCUGUCUGUUAAUGGACAAGUUCAGAAAUUUGAGUUGGGUAAUAAGAAUUGCACAAAGCCUGAUACAUCUUCGGUUUUGGAGGAUGACACAAAGGGCCAAAGUGAUGAUAGAGAAACUGAGAAAAUUGAAUGUCUAUGUGUUUGUGAAGAUCAAGAUGUUGAUGCUGUAAACCCUGAGUUGUCCUUCAUUAAGGAUUGGUGUCAUUCAGGGAGAGAUCGUGGAGUUGGUCUGCACAAUGAUGAUCUGAAGCAGUGUGAGACUAGAGGGAUGAAGAAAGCUAAUAAUGUAUAUCCUUAUAAAGCUCAGAAUUUGAAUCCUAAUUUUUCUGAAGCAGAGAAUAGUGAAUCAUUCAAUUUAAAAAAGAGAGGCGAUAAUGGUAGUCAGGUUCUAAAUCAAGUUGAUAAUUCAAAUGAAGAAUUCGUUGAGUUGACACCACCAGAUGCAGAAGAAAAUGGAGGUGGUGGAGUAGAAUUUAUUCAGAAGAAUACAGAUAGCCUUGGGAAGCCAUUAAAUGGAACUAACACCAGAGAUGUUCUCUGUGCCAGUGAUAAGAGAAACUACUCCCAUUCUAAAAGCAAAGAGGUUCUAAAUCCAUGUUCGAGACUGAAGUUAUACAAAAGUCCAGGCUCGUUCAGCUACAGAAGAUUGCUUCCAUUUCUAAUGGAUAUCAAAAGAGAAAAUUCUUGUGCUUCAGGGAAUGGUCAUCAAUCAAAAUUUGAGAAGGGUUUGAAAGUACUGUUUGCACCACAUGUCACUUCUGACUUUCAAGAGAAGCCAAUUGAUAAUUCAAACGGUUACAAAUUUCAUGAAGAGCAUCAUACUACAAAUUGUGGAAUUCUGCCAAUGACUGCAUUGACUUCUGCCCAUGAGUCAUCUAAUGAUGAUAAAUCAGAGCAUUCUCCUCAGGAUAUUUCUAAAUUCACAAUAUCACUUGAUUCACAAAAGGAACAUCACUUGCAAGAUAGAUAUAGUCAAUUGGUGGGGACUUCCCCUAGCAAAGAGUGUUCUGUACAUGAAAUUGAUCCACAAGUUGCUGCACUUUGUCCUCCUGUCAGCCAAGAAGCUUUGUCUAGGGAAGAAGGUACAACUUUGGCCUAUCGACGAGUCUCUGUUGACAAUGAGGCAGACUGCCCUAGUUCAUUUACAAAAUCUUCUAAUGCGGCAAAGCCAGUUGAGGGAAACAACUUGUCUCAAAUUACACCUCAACUUGAAGCCUCAGCUCCUUCAGGAGUUCAUGGCACUGCACACAAAAAGGGGAUUCUUAAAAGAAAUCCACGAGGAUGCAGAGGGCUCUGUACUUGUUUGAAUUGUGCUUCUUUUCGUCUCCAUGCAGAGAGAUCAUUUGAGUUCUCCAGAAAUCAGAUGCAAGAUGCUGAAGAGGUGGCCUUAAAUUUGAUUAAGGAACUGUCAUACCUUAGGAAUAUGUUGGAGAAAUCUGCUGAUGGUUUCAAUGAUCAUUCUGUUGUUAAAGUCAAUCAGGUGAAAGAAGCAUGCAGGAAAGCAUCAGAAGCAGAAGAACUAGCAAAAGACCGCAUAGGCCAAAUGAACUAUGAGCUCGACAUCCACUGCAGGAUCACAUGCUUGCAGCGGCCAAGAGUUAGAUUUGCCAAUCAUGUUGAAGAAAACGUCAUUCCCAAGGCUGACAUGCCAAGCAAAUAGUAUUUUACCACGUGUCAUUUUCUUUUAAUCUUAAAUUGGGAAUUGAACUAGAUUACCGGAUUUAGUAGGGAAAUAAAGUAUGAAAUGUGGCAACUGACUGUCAGAGUUGCCAAAGACAACAGAGUAGAUGACAUGCAGAAUUUCUGGAGUUAAAGCCUAUAUGCUUGGGCAAUUCAUUAGAAUGAAAAUCUUGUGGCUUACAUUUAGUCACACUUCUGUAGUGAAGAUAAGUUAUCCUGUCCAGUUCCCAAGUGGAUGUUCUAUCUCACCUUUGAGUGAGAUGCUUUGUAACACAUUGUGGGUGGAAUUCAAGUCUAGAGAGUUUGGUUUCAAGGGUGCCAAUGGUAGUGUUUUCACAAUGGACAGAUCAAGGGACAAAUGCGAAGUUGAUUGAAGAUGUGUUGAAGACAGAAAUGAAGGUGACAAUAAAUAAUGAUGGGAUUUUAGAAGGUGAUGAGAUUAAGAGGUGCUUGGAAUUGGUUGUGGGAGAUGGAGAGAGGGAAAGAAAUGAGGACUGCCAUGAAAUGGAAGGAGUUGACUAAGGAUGCUGCCAACGACAGUGUUUCUUUGAUUUGCUUUGUUUACCCCCCUAAACUUGAAAUUGUUGCAUUUGCAUUGUGAUGAAUUAAGAUUUGUAAUUUUGAGGUUAAUUUCUUAUUCUAUUAGUUAAUAAUUUUUAUAUUCAUGGGAAUUGAAUUAAGGACUUCA